GAAAUGCGAUAAGUAAUGUGAAUUGCAGAAUUCAAUGAAUCAUCGAAUCUUUGAACGCAUCUUGCGCUCCUUGGUAUUCCUUGGAGCAUGCCUGUUUGAGUAUCAUGAAAUCUUCAAAGUAAAUCUUUUGUUAACUCAAUUGGUUUCUACUUUGGUAUUGGAGGUCUUUGCAGCUUCACACCUGCUCCUCUUUGUUCAUUAGCUGGAUCUCAGUGUUAUGCUUGGUUCCACUCGGCGUGAUAAGUUAUCUAUCGCUGAGGACACUGUAAAAGGUGGCCAAGGUAAAUGCAGAUGAACCGCUUCUAAUAGUCCAUUGACUUGGACAAUACUUUUAUGAUCUGAUCUCAAAUCAGGUAGGACUACCCGCUGAACUUAAGC
Molecule: unclassified non-coding RNA, 378 nt
Filed under: plant metagenome
Description: partial contains 5.8S ribosomal RNA, internal transcribed spacer 2, and large subunit ribosomal RNA
Rfam family: 5.8S ribosomal RNA (bases 1-105)
Source: RNAcentral